GGUAAUAUGAGAAGGAGCUCUGACAUUCCAUCUCUGACAUAGAGCCUGUAUUCACCUCCCACUGGAAUGGAAUUAGUGAACAUGAAAUUUCAAGAGCUGACAUGAGAAAAAAUACACGUGAGAAAUGCAGGAAAUUAGUGAGAAAAGAAGAUGGCAAAACAAGGAUCGUGGUUCUACAACUAAUGCACUUCUGGAGACCAAGAACCUCUUUUCUGCAGUGGAAGUCUCUACAACUUACAUGCAACAAAGCACAUAAAAACUAGCAGCCUUUCUCAACAGUAGUUUGCAAACAGAAGAAGAUACUAAACCAUGAAUAUGUUAUCAGAUGUCUGUAUCAUAUAGAUUGUGUAUUGUGUGGUCGUACUGUGGUCUGAUGAAUGGUUGAAGCCUGUGAGACAAUCUGGAAUUUGCUGUCAUAGACAGUACUGAAGACCAUGCUGUACCAUCAGCAUUAUUUGCAGUGCCCAGGUUGGAAAGCUGUGCACCUCUGUGCAUCCUCGGCAAUCAGUGUUGAUGGGCACGAAUAACUUUUUGUUAUGUGCAUCUCAGUGCAAGAGGUAAACUUAACAAUGACUCCUUUGCAGCCAGAAAAUGUAUUUAGAGAGCAGACUGCAAGGAAAUACAUAUCUCCAUGUCUACACAGCACAAUAAUUAACAAAGUAGUGUUUAAUUAUAGUAUAAGGUAAAUGAACCGAUAGUUUAGAAGAGGAGAAACUGUCACUAUGAUUAUCAUAAUGACCUUGAAAGAUUUGGAAAUAUAUGAUUUUUUUUGAACUUAUUACAGCAGUUGUAUGAUCAAUGGAAGAAUCAGAAUGGGGAUUUCCAGGGCAGCCUCAAUGAAUUUGCUGCAUGGUAUCAAAAAUCUUGUGUAUGUUUACACAACAAUGAAGAAUCUACACACAAUUAUUUCUCCUUGACAAAAUUAUGUAACAAUUUUUAUACCUGAAUAAUAUAACAUGUAUUUAAAAUUUGUUAUUACCUACAAAGCUCAAACAUGAAUUAUCAUGGAAAUGUAAAUUACACUGUUUAUCACUUUAUCUAGACGUACAUCCACUUUAACAAUUAUUUACUUAAUCAGCUUGUUAAUCAUUAUUAUAAUCUGUUGCUUUCUACUGACUGAGAUCAUUUAUAAAUGGAUUUUCCCCUUGUUUUGCUAUUAAUGUAUCUUUUUCCUUUAAAAUGUAAAAUUAAAUAUGAAUGGUAGAAACAUGUAUAAGUAUUAUUUUGAAAAUAAAACUUAAACUAU
Long non-coding RNA from Gallus gallus (chicken), 1246 nucleotides. The record is from Ensembl. NCBI's taxonomy places the organism in Eukaryota, Metazoa, Chordata, Aves, Galliformes, Phasianidae.